GAUGAACGCUGGCGGCGUGCUUAACACAUGCAAGUCGAACGGAAAGGCCCAAGCUUGCUUGGGUACUCGAGUGGCGAACGGGUGAGUAACACGUGGGUGAUCUGCCCUGCACUUCGGGAUAAGCCUGGGAAACUGGGUCUAAUACCGGAUAGGACCACUUCUUGGAUGUGGUGGUGGAAAGUUUUUUCGGUGUGGGAUGAGCUCGCGGCCUAUCAGCUUGUUGGUGGGGUAAUGGCCUACCAAGGCGUCGACGGGUAGCCGGCCUGAGAGGGUGUACGGCGACCUUGGGACUGAGAUACGGCCCAGACUCCUACGGGAGGCAGCAGUGGGGAAUAUUGCACAAGGGGCGCAAGCCUGAUGCAGAGACGCUGCGUGGGGGAUGACGGCCUUCGGGUUGUAAACUCCUUUCGCUAUGGACGAAGCGUUUUGUGACGGUACCUGGAGAAGAAGCACCGGCUAACUACGUG
RNAcentral lists this ribosomal RNA (467 nucleotides) under uncultured bacterium. Its description in RNAcentral is "partial 16S ribosomal RNA". It matches the Rfam family "Bacterial small subunit ribosomal RNA", at positions 28 to 507 of the family's 1533-position model. The record is from RNAcentral.